Long non-coding RNA from Gallus gallus (chicken), 1892 nucleotides. NCBI's taxonomy places the organism in Eukaryota, Metazoa, Chordata, Aves, Galliformes, Phasianidae. The record is from Ensembl.
UAGCAGAUAAAAGAAAUCACGGAGAAGAUGCAGGAUAGCCUGGAAUACAGGAAUGAGAUAUAAAACAUCACAAGUAACAGUUUCUCUUUCAGCCAAAAAAUAAGAGGGGGAGGUCAAACAAGUUCAUCCUUCUGAGAAUAACACAUAGCUCAACUAUGCAGCCCCUCUCCAGGCAAAGGGAAGAUAAACUUACCGAUAUCCUAGGAAAGAAAGGAUGGAUCGAUGAUGAGAAUUAUGCUGCAUGAUAGCAAGCUCUAGUGCCAUGGAAAUGGAGAGCAGAGCAAUAGAGAUAUUUUGAGUGGGAAAAACAGGGGGAAGCUGGCAGGAGAAGGGAUUGUCACCACGACAAGGGGUGACAGCUGGGAGGAUGCAACUGCAGCUUGGCCUGCUUGAGAAAUGCAGAGGCAAAAUUAUCUAGGCAGGGAGAUGUGCACAAAAGAACAAGAUUGCAAAGGAGAUGAAGUGUGUCAGGGAUUAGAGAUAGUCCAGCAAGCAAAACAAAUGCAGAUGAAGCAUAAAAAGACAACAGCAUUUUAAAGGUGUGUGUAGCUUUCAAGGCAUUCAUAUGGCAGAAAAAAAUGGAAUUGGCUUUAACUGAUUUAUGGGAACUCCUCAAAGACAAACAGAAGUAAUUGUUGUUUUCAAUAACAUUUACUACAGGAUACUGCAGCCUGACUCUGGUUUGAUUCUUAGAGGAACUGCUUGUCUUUCAAGUAGCUGCAAUCAGCUCCCAAGGCUUUAUAUAAUGCGGCAGCAAACUCAGAAUACGGUGCAUAAAGUUUUCAUAGCUGCAUUAGACUGGAAAACAUCCUGGCCCACAUUCCAACUCCUGCCAUCUCCAGUUCUGCUGCUGAGAGCUCCCAACCUCAGUCUCGGUGACAGAUAUUUACAUUUGGAGACAGAAUCAACAGUGCAAGGCCAGACCUGUGCCCUCAUUGCUCUCAAAAAUAAGAAGAGAUGUCUGGAAAUUAAAAACCACAGAACGGCUUGAGUUGGAAGGGACCUCAGUCAUCAUCCAGUUCCACUCCUACACCAUGGGCAGGGUUGCCAACUUACUCAGGCAUCUUUAUGGGCACAGAGCAGCAUAUGCCUCUGCCCUUCACAAUGACUUUCUUCAAGCACUUGCAUUUGAAUGUUGCUUUCCCCUUUCUGGAUGAUUAUCUGUCCUCUGCUGUAAGGAGAUGAAGACAUAUACCAUUCUGAACCACAUUUGAGGGUGUUUCCAACUAAGCUUGCUGAGGGAUGAAGCUAUAAGGACUCAUUGCCAAGAAAUGCUAGUGGAUACACACCUUCACCCCUCUCGCAGAGAACUAUUGAUGGGCUCACGUGGCUGAGAUAUUUAUGAAGAAACUUCUUGUACAAGAGGAGGUUUAUUCCUCAGAGAAUGAAUCAAUCCAGGAUUGUCACUUCUAGAUUGAAAUACGCCAAGAUGAAUAUCUCUUCCACUUCAUACUGUUAUCACUCUUUGUUACCAACUUAUUAUGGACUACAGGUAGCAAGUGCUUCUGGACUUACAGCAAUACACCAAAGCUGUCAGAUGGCCAGGAGCUUCCAACCAGACCCUGCAUGAUUUGAGUGGCCCAAUGGAUUGUUUUGGUUCUACUUGUGAGCUAUUUUGAAAUAUUACAGUGUCCAUUACCGCAGUAUUAGCACUUCACUGUCCUUAAUGCUGUUUAAUCCAUCAGUUUUAGAGUCCCAAACCAAGGACUCCCUGCCAGCAGUCACCGCUACCGAUGCAGUGCACACUGUCAGAUUGCAACCUUGGCCAUAACAAGGUCAUGUAAUAAAGCACAUGACAGAGGAAAGACUGUAAUAAUAAUUAUUUCCAUUGUGUAUAAUAAAUAAUAUAAUAAAGCUUAGUUGUAAGCAUUAGAAGAGCUGUGAAAGUCAAG